RNAcentral lists this ribosomal RNA (895 nucleotides) under Listeria monocytogenes. Its description in RNAcentral is "partial 23S ribosomal RNA". It matches the Rfam family "Bacterial large subunit ribosomal RNA", at positions 305 to 1194 of the family's 2925-position model. The record is from RNAcentral. Lineage: Bacteria; Bacillati; Bacillota; Bacilli; Caryophanales; Listeriaceae.
ACACUCUAUACGGAGUUACAAAAGAAAGUUAUAAAUGAAGCGGUCUGGAAAGGCCCGCCAAAGACGGUAACAGCCCGGUAGUUGAAAUGGCUUUCCCUCCAGAGUGGAUCCUGAGUACGGCGGAACACGUGAAAUUCCGUCGGAAUCCGGGAGGACCAUCUCCCAAGGCUAAAUACUCCCUAGUGACCGAUAGUGAACCAGUACCGUGAGGGAAAGGUGAAAAGCACCCCGGAAGGGGAGUGAAACAGUUCCUGAAACCGUGUGCCUACAAGUAGUUAGAGCCCGUUAAUGGGUGAUAGCGUGCCUUUUGUAGAAUGAACCGGCGAGUUACGAUUUGUUGCAAGGUUAAGCGGAAAAAGCGGAGCCGUAGCGAAAGCGAGUCUGAAUAGGGCGCAUAAGUAACAGGUCGUAGACCCGAAACCAGGUGAUCUACCCAUGUCCAGGAUGAAGGUAAGGUAAUACUUACUGGAGGUCCGAACCCACGCACGUUGAAAAGUGCGGGGAUGAGGUGUGGGUAGCGGAGAAAUUCCAAUCGAACUUGGAGAUAGCUGGUUCUCUCCGAAAUAGCUUUAGGGCUAGCCUCGAGGUAAAGAGUCAUGGAGGUAGAGCACUGUUUGGACUAGGGGCCCUUCUCGGGUUACCGAAUUCAGAUAAACUCCGAAUGCCAUGUACUUAUACUCGGGAGUCAGACUGCGAGUGAUAAGAUCCGUAGUCGAAAGGGAAACAGCCCAGACCACCAGUUAAGGUCCCCAAAUAUAUGUUAAGUGGAAAAGGAUGUGGGGUUGCUUAGACAACCAGGAUGUUGGCUUAGAAGCAGCCACCAUUGAAAGAGUGCGUAAUAGCUCACUGGUCGAGUGACCCCGCGCCGAAAAUGUACCGGGGCUAAACAUAUUAC